This 156-nucleotide ribosomal RNA is filed under the name Fusarium sp. GUf-4. RNAcentral describes it as "5.8S ribosomal RNA". It matches the Rfam family "5.8S ribosomal RNA". Rfam says of the family: 5.8S ribosomal RNA (5.8S rRNA) is a component of the large subunit of the eukaryotic ribosome. The record is from RNAcentral. Lineage: Eukaryota; Fungi; Ascomycota; Sordariomycetes; Hypocreales; Nectriaceae.
AAAACUUUCAACAACGGAUCUCUUGGCUCUGGCAUCGAUGAAGAACGCAGCGAAAUGCGAUAAGUAAUGUGAAUUGCAGAAUUCAGUGAAUCAUCGAAUCUUUGAACGCACAUUGCGCCCGCCAGUAUUCAUGGGGCAUGCCUGUUCGAGCGUCAU